UACGUAGGGUGCAAGCGUUGUCCGGAAUUAUUGGGCGUAAAGCGCACGUAGGCGGCUUGUUGCGUCGACUGUGAAAAACCCGCGGCUUAACCGCGGGCUUGCAGUUGAUACGGGCAGGCUAGAGUUCGGUAGGGGGAGACUGGAAUUCCUGGUGUAGCGGUGAAAUGCGCAGAUAUCAGGAGGAACACCGGUGGCGAAGGCGGCCCACUGGUCCGGUACUGACGCUGAGGUGCGAAAAGCGUGGGGAGCAAACAGG
RNAcentral lists this ribosomal RNA (256 nucleotides) under uncultured bacterium. RNAcentral's name for it is "partial 16S ribosomal RNA". It matches the Rfam family "Bacterial small subunit ribosomal RNA", at positions 524 to 776 of the family's 1533-position model. The record is from RNAcentral.